UUCUCCCUUACAGUAGGAACCGUGAGAGGGGGGGUGCCGAAAGGGACCAUAACACAGGUGUGCAUGGGUGUCAGCUCGUGUCGUGAGAUGUUGGGUUAAGUCCCGCAACGAGCGCAACCCUUGUCCUAGUUGUACGCAAGAGCACUUAGGGAGACUGCCGGUGACAAACCGGAGGAAGGUGGGGAUGACGUCAAGUCCUCAUGGCCCUUAUGGGUAGGGCUUCACACGUCAUACAAUGGUCGGAACAGAGGGUUGCCAAGCCGCGAGGUGGAGCCAAUCCCAGAAAACCGAUCGUAGUCCGGAUCGCACUCUGCAACUCGAGUGCGUGAAGCUGGAAUCGCUAGUAAUCGCGGAUCAGCAUGCCGCGGGAAUACGUUCCCGGGUCUGUACACACCGCCCGUCACACCAGGGGAGG
Molecule: ribosomal RNA, 415 nt
Filed under: Burkholderia sp. UFSM-B33
Lineage: Bacteria; Pseudomonadati; Pseudomonadota; Betaproteobacteria; Burkholderiales; Burkholderiaceae
Description: bacterial SSU rRNA
Rfam family: Bacterial small subunit ribosomal RNA
Source: RNAcentral